GUGGGGAAUUUUGCGCAAUGGGGGAAACCCUGACGCAGCAACGCCGCGUGCGGGAAGACGGCCCUCGGGUUGUAAACCGCUUUCAGCAGGGAAGAAAUUCGACGGUACCUGCAGAAGAAGCCCCGGCUAACUACGUGCCAGCAGCCGCGGUAACACGUAGGGGGCGAGCGUUAUCCGGAUUCAUUGGGCGUAAAGCGCGCGCAGGCGGCGGGUCAAGCGGGGCCUCUAAGGCCGGGGCUCAACCCCGGUUCGGGCCCCGAACUGGCCCGCUCGGGUGCGGUAGGGGCAGGUGGAAUUCCCGGUGUAGCGGUGGAAUGCGCAGAUAUCGGGAGGAACACCGAUGGCGAAGGCAGCCUGCUGGGCCGUCACCGACGCUGAGGCGCGAGAGCCGGGGGAGCGAACAGGAUUAGAAACCCGUGUAGUCC
Molecule: ribosomal RNA, 425 nt
Filed under: uncultured bacterium
Lineage: Bacteria
Description: bacterial SSU rRNA
Rfam family: Bacterial small subunit ribosomal RNA
Source: RNAcentral